GCGCCUUUAGCUCAGUUGGUAGAGCAGCUGACUCUUAAUCAGCGGGUCCACGGUUCGAGCCCGUGAAGGCGUA
RNAcentral lists this transfer RNA (73 nucleotides) under Leucobacter denitrificans. RNAcentral describes it as "Leucobacter sp. M1T8B10 tRNA". It matches the Rfam family "tRNA". Rfam says of the family: Transfer RNA (tRNA) molecules are approximately 80 nucleotides in length. Their secondary structure includes four short double-helical elements and three loops (D, anti-codon, and T loops). Lineage: Bacteria; Bacillati; Actinomycetota; Actinomycetes; Micrococcales; Microbacteriaceae. The record is from Rfam by way of RNAcentral.